AACGAACGCUGGCGGCAUGCCUAACACAUGCAAGUCGAACGGGAUCCAGGCUUCGGCCUGGUGAGAGUGGCGGACGGGUGAGUAACACGUGGGAACCUGCCUUUUGGUUCGGGAUAACCGCGGGAAACUGCGGCUAAUACCGGAUGCUCCCGAGAGGGGAAAGAUUUAUCGCCAGAAGAGGGGCCCGCGUCCGAUUAGGUAGUUGGUGAGGUAAUGGCUCACCAAGCCGACGAUCGGUAGCUGGUCUGAGAGGAUGAUCAGCCACACUGGGACUGAGAUACGGCCCAGGCUCCUACGGGAGGCAGCAGUGGGGAAUAUUGGACAAUGGGGCGAAAGCCUGAUCCAGCAAUGCCGCGUGAGUGAUGAAGGCCUUAGGGUUGUAAGCUCUUUUACCCGGGAUGAUAAUGACAGUACCGGGAGAAGUAAGCCCGGCUACUCCGUGCCAGCAGCCGCGGUAAU
This 459-nucleotide ribosomal RNA is filed under the name uncultured bacterium. RNAcentral describes it as "bacterial SSU rRNA". It matches the Rfam family "Bacterial small subunit ribosomal RNA", at positions 29 to 524 of the family's 1533-position model. The record is from RNAcentral.